AUACUUACCUGGCAAGUGAGAUACCGUGAUCAAGAAGGCGGUUCACCCAGGGCGAGGCUCAGCCAUGCAUUCCGGCUGUGCUGACCCCUGCGAAUUUCCCAAAUGUGGAAAUCUCGAUUGCAUAAUUUAUGGUAGUGGGGGACUGCGUUCGCGCUCUCCCCUG
RNAcentral lists this small nuclear RNA (163 nucleotides) under Salmo salar (Atlantic salmon). Its description in RNAcentral is "U1 spliceosomal RNA". It matches the Rfam family "U1 spliceosomal RNA". Rfam says of the family: U1 is a small nuclear RNA (snRNA) component of the spliceosome (involved in pre-mRNA splicing). Its 5' end forms complementary base pairs with the 5' splice junction, thus defining the 5' donor site of an intron. There are significant differences in sequence and secondary structure between metazoan and yeast U1 snRNAs, the latter being much longer (568 nucleotides as compared to 164 nucleotides in human). The record is from Rfam by way of RNAcentral. Lineage: Eukaryota; Metazoa; Chordata; Actinopteri; Salmoniformes; Salmonidae.